GAUGAACGCUGGCGGCGUGCCUAAUACAUGCAAGUCGAGCGAACAGAUGAGGAGCUUGCUCCUCUGACGUUAGCGGCGGACGGGUGAGUAACACGUGGAUAACCUACCUAUAAGACUGGGAUAACUUCGGGAAACCGGAGCUAAUACCGGAUAAUAUAUUGAACCGCAUGGUUCAAUAGUGAAAGACGGUUUUGCUGUCACUUAUAGAUGGAUCCGCGCCGCAUUAGCUAGUUGGUAAGGUAACGGCUUACCAAGGCAACGAUGCGUAGCCGACCUGAGAGGGUGAUCGGCCACACUGGGACUGAGACACGGUCCAGACUCCUACGGGAGGCAGCAGUAGGGAAUCUUCCGCAAUGGGCGAAAGCUUGACGGAGCAACGCCGCGUGAGUGAUGAAGGUCUUCGGAUCGUAAAACUCUGUUAUUAGGGAAGAACAAAUGUGUAAGUAACUAUGCACGUCUUGACGGUACCUAAUCAGAAAGCCACGGCUAACUACGUG
This 497-nucleotide ribosomal RNA is filed under the name uncultured bacterium. Its description in RNAcentral is "partial 16S ribosomal RNA". It matches the Rfam family "Bacterial small subunit ribosomal RNA", at positions 28 to 507 of the family's 1533-position model. The record is from RNAcentral.